CGUGAAAGCGAGUCCGACGCGUAAAGGAACGAAAGUCCCGUCGGCUCGUAGAAUGGAGUAGCGCUCGUUCGAUGCAUUUCCGGUGGGUAAGCGCCGUGACCGAUGCGAAUAGCCGGCUAGCGAAGCCGUCGGAUUGAGGGCGAGUUCGUUCGCGAGUCUCGUAACCAGUCCGUCGGUCGUAAUAGAAAUCGUUAGACCGUAGCAUCGAGAGAAUGAGAAUUCGAACGUCGGCGAAUCUUACGCGCUCGCCUAAUACGAUGGACGUACGUUCGGUCGAUGGUCACCUGCUCGCAGGUUUCAGUCGUACUAUGGGCGUAUCGGAAAUCGUUGGUGACGUUUACGACGUUCGGGUGUCUACGGCGUCCGAGUCGGUCGCCCGUCCGACCCGUCUUGAAACACGGACCAAGGAGUCUAACGUAAGCGCGAGCUAAUGGGCGGAAAACCCAUAAGCGCAAUAAAAGUAAAAGUCGUUUCGGACGGCUUAGGUACGAUCCCGCAGGGCGAAUAAUCCUCGGGCGCAGUACCGUCCCGUCCCGACCGCUCGUCGGUAGGGCGGAGACAGAGUGCAUACGUUGGGGACCCGAA
Molecule: ribosomal RNA, 585 nt
Filed under: Xiphinema pseudocoxi
Lineage: Eukaryota; Metazoa; Nematoda; Enoplea; Dorylaimida; Longidoridae
Description: eukaryotic LSU rRNA
Rfam family: Eukaryotic large subunit ribosomal RNA
Source: RNAcentral